AUCAUCAUCGGAUCAACUGGUUCCCUAGAGGCGAGGCGCCUUCGGGGAGUAAAUGGGAACGUGAAGGAUGGACCCACUCUGGGCAUCUUCAUCACGGCCGACCCCGCGACUGUAGAGCGGUGAGAACCUGCCAUGCCGGACCUCCGGCAAAAGCCACUGAGGCGAAGGGCGAUGAGCCCAUGUCUUGGGAAGGUGAGACAGGUUCCUUGAUGCGAAGGCAUCUGACGCCGCGAGCCAGGAAACCUGCCUGUUGAUGAGGGGCAUG
This 265-nucleotide non-coding RNA is filed under the name Rhizobium sp. The record is from RNAcentral. Lineage: Bacteria; Pseudomonadati; Pseudomonadota; Alphaproteobacteria; Hyphomicrobiales; Rhizobiaceae.